This 83-nucleotide small RNA is filed under the name Klebsiella aerogenes. Its description in RNAcentral is "partial RtT sRNA". It matches the Rfam family "RtT RNA", at positions 1 to 80 of the family's 130-position model. From Rfam's summary of the family: This family represents a bacterial cis-regulatory element known as RtT RNA. The record is from RNAcentral. Lineage: Bacteria; Pseudomonadati; Pseudomonadota; Gammaproteobacteria; Enterobacterales; Enterobacteriaceae.
UGCAUCUGCGGCCCGAAGAGGAUGAGAACCUCCGGGGGCAGAGGUUCGACUCGAGCGUAGCGAGAGAACGUUGCGUCAGCAAC